Molecule: non-coding RNA, 381 nt
Organism: Manis javanica (Malayan pangolin)
Lineage: Eukaryota; Metazoa; Chordata; Mammalia; Pholidota; Manidae
Source: RefSeq, a predicted model, not a curated record
GCCAGGAGGUGAGGCGCCGGUGGAAUGCGGUGCUCAGGGCUGUAGGAGCCUGCACCUUCCUGGCCCAGCCCAGGUCAGGAGGCUUCGGGCUGCAGGCAUUGACUGGAUGUGGACCACGUGCCUUGCAGGUGCUAUUUUGGAGGUGUUCAGAGACCAGCAGGGGAGACAAUUAUAGCACAAGGAGGAACGCUCCGGAGCAGGCGGGUCUUCAAAGUGUUCUGAGACCCGGGGAACAUAAUCAUUCCAGCUGAAGGUGGAGAGACCACACAGAGGAGGACAGAAGCUUCCUGAAGGCAGCAGCUGCUGAUCUUACUUAUUCUCUGCUGUAUCCCCAGAUCAACCACUAGGGGGCGCAGAGGACAACUGGCUUCAAACAAAGGU